Long non-coding RNA from Oreochromis niloticus (Nile tilapia), 1555 nucleotides. RefSeq annotates it as T-cell antigen CD7. The transcript is spliced from 6 exons. Lineage: Eukaryota; Metazoa; Chordata; Actinopteri; Cichliformes; Cichlidae. The record is from RefSeq and is a predicted model, not a curated record.
GUGUCUCGGGAGGAUCCGAAAGGAUGCGUGAGCACGGAAGCAGAUUGGGAAAAUGAGCUGAUAACCGUCCUCUGUCUGUCUUUUGGGACCCCAUGCAGAGCAGAUGGUUAUGGAGUGGUACGGAUAAAUGUUGGCGAGCAAGUCACCAUCCAGUGCAGAAGUGCUUCUAAUCAGGAUAUGCUGUAUUUGAAGAAAGGCCUCAAUGAGGAAGAGGACAUUUAUUUCACAGAUUCAAAUACAUCUACUAUUAACCAAAAAUUUACUGACAGACUUCAGUUUCAUGGGAAAUUACCCAAUGUGGAUAUUCUCAUCAAAAACCUGACCCUGAACGAUACAGGACCGUACUGGUGUGUGUACAAAUCGACCGACCAGAAAUAUGAGCUCAAAACCACAAAAGGCAGUGGGUCUGUGCUGCUGGUGGUGACAGAUGGUUAUGGAGUGAUACGGAGAAAUGUUGGACAGCAAAUCACCAUCCAGUGCAGAAGUGCUUCUAAUCAGGAUAUGCUGUAUUUGAAGAAAGGCCUCAAUGAGGAAGAGGACAUUUAUUUCACAGAUUCAAAUACAUCUACUAUUAACCAAAAAUUUACUGACAGACUUCAGUUUCAUGGUAAAUUACCCACUGUGGAUAUUCUGAUCAAAAACCUGACCCUGGAUGAUACAGGACCGUACUGGUGUGUGUACAAAUCGACCGACAAGAACUAUGAGCUCAAAGCCACAAGAGGCAUUGGGUCUGUGCUCCUGGUGGUGACAGAAAGCAAAUCAACUGAUUCAUUAGCAGAUCAACGGUCUGAGUGCCUUGAGCAGUCCCAGAGUGACCUGGUCCUGGUCACUGUGGUCAUCUGUGCAGCUGUGCUCAUUGUCGUCCUCACUGUCUUCCUCAUAUGGAUCAUCCUCAAGACCAGGCCCUUGCGCAGCACAGUGAAAAAAAGACCUGUCCCGGUCAACGACGUUUAUGAGGACAUGCGCGGCACAAUCAGGCGCUGAAGAGUUUACAGAGCCGACGCCGUGAACUCUCGGCACCACUGUGGUGUAAGCUCGGUCUGUUCUCACGCUUCAUGUCAUGUGUGGGUGUCUGUUAAAGAGCAACAGUGAGGUAAAAUGGUGCAACAGAAGAACACUUGCUCUGUAGAUUAUUUGUAAUCUUUAUAAGAGGAUUAUCAGCAUUGAGGCUUGUCCGUGGUAUUUGGGGAUGUACCCAGACGGAGAGGUUUUGGUUCACUUUUUUUUUCAACUAUAAAUAUGUUAAUCUUUGUUGUCAGUUUUUCCAAAAACGUAGCUUUUUUGUACUAAACUUUUUUUAAAUAUAAUUUAAUGCAAUAUGUGAUGUCUUUGGGGUGUACAGUGGCUGCAGCGUGAGUCAGGGUGGGUGGGACAUUCACCUGGGGUGGGGUGGACUGAAUGAAUUGAAUUAAUAUGUGUUUGUGUACAUGUGUUGAUUUUUCCAGCAUCUGAACAGGGGGAAAAGCCAGAAAACAGUUAAUGCAAAUAAAGACACGAAUGUCUUGUAAAAUACUAUGUAUUUUCAUCUUAAUAAACUAUCUGCCAUUCAUAUGAA